RNAcentral lists this ribosomal RNA (481 nucleotides) under uncultured bacterium. RNAcentral describes it as "partial 16S ribosomal RNA". It matches the Rfam family "Bacterial small subunit ribosomal RNA", at positions 30 to 506 of the family's 1533-position model. The record is from RNAcentral.
AUUGAACGCUGGCGGCAUGCCUUACACAUGCAAGUCGAACGGUAACAGGUCUUCGGAUGCUGACGAGUGGCGAACGGGUGAGUAAUACAUCGGAACGUGCCCGAUCGUGGGGGAUAACGAGGCGAAAGCUUUGCUAAUACCGCAUACGAUCUACGGAUGAAAGCGGGGGAUCUUCGGACCUCGCGCGGACGGAGCGGCCGAUGGCAGAUUAGGUAGUUGGUGGGAUAAAAGCUUACCAAGCCGACGAUCUGUAGCUGGUCUGAGAGGAUGAUCAGCCACACUGGGACUGAGACACGGCCCAGACUCCUACGGGAGGCAGCAGUGGGGAAUUUUGGACAAUGGGCGAAAGCCUGAUCCAGCCAUGCCGCGUGCAGGAUGAAGGCCUUCGGGUUGUAAACUGCUUUUGUACGGAACGAAAAGCCUCUUUCUAAUAAAGAGAGGUCAUGACGGUACCGUAAGAAUAAGCACCGGCUAACUACGU